GGGCCCGCACAAGCGGAGGAACAUGUGGUUUAAUUCGAUGAUACGCGAGGAACCUUACCUGGGCUCGAACGCUUCUGGAAUCACGCCGAAAGGCGUGAGCCGGCAACGGCCGGGAGCGAGGUGCUGCAUGGUUGUCGUCAGCUCGUGCCGUGAGGUGUCGGGUUAAGUCCCAUAACGAGCGCAACCCCUACCGCCAGUUGCCAGCGGGUGAAGCCGGGGACUCUGGCGGGACUGCCGGCGUAAGCCGAGAGGAAGGCGGGGAUGACGUCAAAUCAGCACGGCCCUUACGUCCAGGGCUACACACGUGUUACAAUGGCCGGUACAGAGGGAGGCGACCCCGCGAGGGGGAGCGGAUCCCGAAAGCCGGUCGUAGUUCGGAUCGGGGUCUGGAACCCGACCCCGUGAAGCCGGAUUCGCUAGUAAUCGCGCAUCAGCCAUGGCGCGGUGAAUACGUUCCCGGGCCUU
RNAcentral lists this ribosomal RNA (465 nucleotides) under uncultured bacterium. RNAcentral's name for it is "bacterial SSU rRNA". It matches the Rfam family "Bacterial small subunit ribosomal RNA", at positions 917 to 1382 of the family's 1533-position model. The record is from RNAcentral.